This 91-nucleotide non-coding RNA is filed under the name Nitrospirota bacterium. Its description in RNAcentral is "Nitrospirae bacterium c-di-GMP sequence". It matches the Rfam family "c-di-GMP-I riboswitch aptamer". From Rfam's summary of the family: GEMM was predicted in a large-scale screen for bacterial structured RNA regulatory elements. Genes associated with GEMM are involved in a diverse array of functions, including chemotaxis regulation, signal transduction, secretion and chitin. The record is from RNAcentral. Lineage: Bacteria; Pseudomonadati; Nitrospirota.
CUCUGCUCAGAGCACACCCCGCGAAAGCGGGGGCCGCAGAGCCGCGACGCUAAGUCCGCCCAUCGGGGGAUACGCGAGUCGGGCCGCCAGA